This 2726-nucleotide long non-coding RNA is filed under the name Hordeum vulgare. RNAcentral's name for it is "long non-coding RNA (HVUL_LNC004115)". Lineage: Eukaryota; Viridiplantae; Streptophyta; Magnoliopsida; Poales; Poaceae. The record is from RNAcentral.
ACCAAUCAGAAAACACAUUUAAAAUAUAUUCAACUAACUCAUUGAUAUACCAAUUAGAAAACAGAUUUAAAAUAUAUUCAACUAACAUCCAAACUCAGUUUAUUACAAUAUUCCACACAAUCACAAUAUAACCAUACAAUAUUCCACCAAUCACAAUACAACACAUAAAACGCUCAACAAGUAUAGGAACGUCUCCAACACCUUAUAGUGCCUUCAACCUGCAAAACAUCAACAUCCAUCCACAUAUUAACCAUUGAGUUGAGAUCAAUUCACCCCUUGACGGAAAUAAGAAUAUGCGCUCAUGUAUGAACAAAACUAAAAUAAACAAACUUUGAGGCCAUAGCAUGUGCUACAAAAAUGUUAACAAUUUUUUUAAUAAUUUGUGGUAGCUUGUUCAAAUUCUACUGCAAGGAUUUCAGAUAUGUAUGUAUACUCAAAGUUUCAUAGAUAUUUGUGUGCAAAAUUAAUCUCCCGGUUUCAGAUACGUGUGUAUGCAAACUUAAUCGAUUCCUGGUGCUACUCCUAGUGCACACUUAUUAGAUAUACAGAAAUCAUGGUUAAAAUUCACAUGUACAUGUCCUGGUCCAGUCAAUCACUUACCUUCGUGAUUGCAUCCAUGUCAUGAAGCAGGACAUGGCUGAAUUGGCCUUCACUCACACCAACCAUGUAUAUGAGAAUGAUCAGUCAGCCAAUGAGGUCCAUUGAUUGCACAAGAUGAAAAGAACAUCCUGAAUUUGGGCACAUAUAUACCUAUAGAAAUAGCAGCAUCUCAAUCACUGUAUAAUCAGCAAGCACACAUAGCAGCAGUAAUAAGAACUCUCUGAAUCACAAACACUAAUCAGCACCCCUCUAUGCCAAUCUAUCUCCAACGGAUGAAACAACAAUAUCUCACUCAUCUCAGACGAAUCCUCUCCCAUCUCCCUCUCUCUGAAUCUCAUAUCACCUGAAGCAUAACAUGAGCUCGUUAAUAGACCAACCAAUUUCAUGUUUUUUCUAAUAAAAAGGAAGAGCCAAACUGUAUCUUAUCAUAUGAGGAGAAGAAAAAUAUAAGGGGUCAUACUUAUUCUGCGCCUAUUACGCUGGACCACACCACAUCUUCCAACAUGCUAUCCAAGACUAGCACUAGAAGAUGAAACACACAUAAUGUGUGUGAUGAACAACGGGUUUUAAGGCCAAACACACAUCAGGACGCUGAUAUAAGCCGACGGUACAUUCCCCACGGAGGAGGGAAACUGAGGAAUAAGCCAGCAGCCCCCUCACCUCCAGUACAAGGCUGUUCUCCGGAGAUAUAUGAGAAAGGCAAGCAUCGCGACCCUGCCAUUUACUCGAAGCUACGGGACACACACAGGAUAAAUAAAGAGAAAAACCAACAUCCCCUUUCUUUGCUCCCUUGAGCGUUGGCACAUAAUAAUGCGCUUGAUUGGGACAUGGGUUAACUGAAAUGUUGUGACGUGGUAAUUCCAUGAUGGAGGAAGUACUAGCUAGUACUCCCUCAGUUCCUAAAUAUAUGUCUUUUUAGAGGUUCCACUAGUGGGCUAUAUAUGGUUAUAUAUAGACAUACUUUAGAGUGUAUAUUCAUUCAUUUUACUCCGUAUGUAGACCCCUAGUGAAAUCUUUUAAAAGACUUAUAUUUAGGAACGGAGGGAGUACAUACACACAUGUCACACCGAGACAGAAUCCCCACACCCGCUCUGUUUACCGAAUGGAGGGAGGAAGUGACGAGAUCCCCUGUCCAUCCCUGUUGAGGGCUCAGCACCAUGCAGCACGGGCGGACCUAACGAGGCUCGCAGGUUGGGUUCAAGAUUCCGAGGGUACGGCUGGGUAGGGUUAGCAUGUCGCACCGCUAGAAGUAAAAGAAACAAAACAAGAGGGAAAAAAUAACGGAGAAGGAAGGGAGCAUAUCGGAUGAACCAGCCCAACGGAUGAAGAAGCAGCAAGCAAAUAUAGAGGCAUCUCCCUCUUGGCUCUCUCCCCACCCCCAAAUCGAGCCCACCGUCGCUCCCGUCAUCCCCUUCAACAGCGGCAAUGAGUCUGGGACACAUGUCCAUCCCGCUCGGCUCUCUCCCCACCGCAGGGGAUACAUCGCAUCCCCGUGUGCAGCCCCGGCGACCGUGGCACGCCCUCUAUCUACAUCCUGGCAGUGUCGCCUCUCCCUCCUCCAACUUUCUAUGCUUUGCUCGAUCUAAGAGAAAAUCAAGGGUAGGACGGACCUGUGAUGCGGAGGACAUGACGUGGUGACGGGAACGAUCUGCCCGGAGGUGGAGGCGGGAAUGAUCUGCUAUUUGUACUCCUUGAGACGCGCCUUGAGCUCAUGGUCCUCCUCCGACUGCGAAAGGCUUGAAACACGAGUCACGCGACCACACCCGUAAGAGAGAGGAUGAGUGGCGCCCCCGCCCCAUGGGAAGAAAGCAGAGGAAGAGAAGGGGGGAAGCUCUGGGGUCGUCGUUGCUCACCGGGUUGUCCCCCUUCGUCUUCCCCUUUCCCUUGGCCGGCUGUGGCAGGGCGUGGGAGGCGGCAUGAACUCUGUCGCCGCCACUAGCAUCCUCGUGCGACGAGGGAGAGCAGAUUAGGAUUUGGAUCUCCGUCUGGAUCGGGGGAGGAUAGGGACUGAGGGAGGAGGCGGCGGAAGGAAGUUAAACGAGGGAGCAGAGGGUGUCGUGCACUGCGUUUAGGUUUAGCUAUAUGAGAGGCGAGUGAGAGGCGAGUGAGAGACGUUGGAUCCGCAG